UGCUCACUUCAGCAGCCAUACACUAAAAUUGGAAUGAUCUAGAGAAAAUCUGCUUGGCCCCUGCACAAAGAUGACACACAAAACUCUUCAGGUUUUAAUUUUAAAU
This is a small nuclear RNA of Vulpes vulpes (red fox), 106 nucleotides long. Lineage: Eukaryota; Metazoa; Chordata; Mammalia; Carnivora; Canidae. The record is from Ensembl.